RNAcentral lists this transfer RNA (76 nucleotides) under Corynebacterium terpenotabidum Y-11. Its description in RNAcentral is "tRNA-Ala". It matches the Rfam family "tRNA". Rfam says of the family: Transfer RNA (tRNA) molecules are approximately 80 nucleotides in length. Their secondary structure includes four short double-helical elements and three loops (D, anti-codon, and T loops). Lineage: Bacteria; Bacillati; Actinomycetota; Actinomycetes; Mycobacteriales; Corynebacteriaceae. The record is from RNAcentral.
GGGGCUAUAGCUCAGUUGGUAGAGCGUUGCGUUCGCAAUGCAAAGGUCUGGGGUUCGAUUCCCCAUAGCUCCACUA